UUGGCGUCAGCAACGUUUUGCUGUUCGGGUUUAGCCGCCAUGUUUAAGUUGGCCGGGUUUCGCACCACUGAGGUCAUGGAUACUCAGGCCUCUUUGCGUGUUUCUUCAACACUGCUUCUAAGGUUAACCGCGUUACAUUUGUUGGAGAAAAUCCUGGGAACGCUGAAAAGGACUAGUGGGUGGGGUGCGAGGGUGGGGUCUUGCCCGAAUUAAAGAUGGCCGCAGUCAGCUCUGCCCCGCGCAAUUUCACGUCAAGUUUUGGAGCUGCGGGAGCCGGCCAGUUGGCCUCAGCGCCUCCUUACGGAAUUGGCGUAAGGCAAAGAGGCGCGGCUGGAAGAACCAGACUGAGAAAGUGCCACAGGGCGGGGGCCGCAUCCGCCCCUCGGCUUCUGGUUACUGACCCGACGGCUUUGUGAGUGAAAGUGAAGAGACACUUCGAGGAGGUCCUGGAACCAAUCCCCUCUGAUACUGAGAGACAACUAUUACACAAG
This 491-nucleotide long non-coding RNA is filed under the name Homo sapiens (human). RNAcentral describes it as "non-protein coding SEPT7-AS1:2". The record is from RNAcentral. Lineage: Eukaryota; Metazoa; Chordata; Mammalia; Primates; Hominidae.